CCAGCUCCAGGUAGCAGGCUGGGCAGGGCUAGGUGGGGCAAGGCAUCCUUUUGUGGUCUAAUUCAAUUCCUUGGGCCAGUUCAGGCCUGUGGAGAGCUCCAUGGGAAUGAUCCACUGGGGAAAAGCCAGCCCCCACAUUGAUCCUGCAACUUCCUGGUGUAGGCUCAGCUAUUAUAGCAGCACAUAAUGUGGUGACUGACACUGAGGUCUUCUCUGACAGUACAGCUUGAUCUGCAAUCCUUUCACCUCAAAGAGAAUGGCCGGCAGGGAGCCCGUCUAUGAAGUCUUGUUGGACAACUUCACCUACACAGUCUUCAGUGAUGCUCUAAAAACAGAAGCUGACAAGAGGCUAUGGUGAUCCAGAGUCACAACUAUCUCUUCUCUCAUCCCUUCGACCAAACUUUCCUGAGCAACUCUGAUGCCAGGCGUUUCUAGCACUGUGAUAGAACCUGGGUGGAGGACAGAGGACCCUGCUUCAAAGGUAACCACCUGCCUCCUUCUGCUAUCACAGAGCUGACCUCUGUGCAGCAGAGAGCAGAGCUUGGAGGCCACUGCUGAGAAUCUGCACUCUAAAGACAUCUACCUAAAGCACGAGCUUUAUUUCUGGGCACUCAGCCAGACCUCCUGACCACAUCCUGGACUGAGGAUUUUGGAUGGUGGAACGGGGGUGGAAGUGAACAUUAA
This 684-nucleotide long non-coding RNA is filed under the name Callithrix jacchus (white-tufted-ear marmoset). RNAcentral's name for it is "lncRNA (ENSCJAG00000070939.1)". The record is from RNAcentral. Lineage: Eukaryota; Metazoa; Chordata; Mammalia; Primates; Cebidae.